Molecule: long non-coding RNA, 384 nt
Organism: Gambusia affinis (western mosquitofish)
Lineage: Eukaryota; Metazoa; Chordata; Actinopteri; Cyprinodontiformes; Poeciliidae
Exons: 3
Source: RefSeq, a predicted model, not a curated record
ACCCUCCCAACUACACACACCAGGUGUAGCGACUGAUUGGUGGGCGGGGCAGAUAGCUUUAAAGCUGAGCAGUCCGCUGCGAGGUGCAUGUGCCUUGUUUCCUUGCUGUAUGUUGGCUGCCCAAGUGGCUGGUGUGUUCGAUCCACUCAUCCAAAAUACGUUGCGCAGUUGGCGUUGGCGGCUGCAGUUGGAGGUUGGUGCGGCGAGCGGCUUCCAUCCAGCCCUCGCCUGCUGAUCCGCUCCCUCCCUGGUCGGCUGUGUCACCACAUCUGGGAUUCUUUCAGAGUUGCAGCGCUUGGACGCUCCUGCUGUCUUGUCUUGUCUUGUCUUGCCGGUUUUGUUUGGGCCGCUCUCGACGGAGCCUGCUGACGCUAUUGGCUGGCG